GAUAAACGCUGGCGGCGCACAUAAGACAUGCAAGUCGAACGGACCAAAUGCUUUGUUUACAUUGCAAGAGGUUAGUGGCGGACUGGUGAGUAACACGUAAGCAACCUGCCUAGAAGAGGGGAAUAACAGCGAGAAAUCGCUGCUAAUACCGCAUACCUUGGCUCUAUUGCAUGAUAGAGUUAAGAAAGGAGCAAUCCGCUUUUAGAUGGGCUUGCGUCUGAUUAGCUAGUUGGUGGGGUAACGGCCUACCAAGGCGACGAUCAGUAGCCGGACUGAGAGGUUGAACGGCCACAUUGGGACUGAGAUACGGCCCAG
Molecule: ribosomal RNA, 315 nt
Filed under: uncultured bacterium
Lineage: Bacteria
Description: bacterial SSU rRNA
Rfam family: Bacterial small subunit ribosomal RNA
Source: RNAcentral